GGAGAGAUGGCUGAGUGGUUGAUAGCCCAGUCUUGAAAACCGGUAUAGUUUUAUUGAAGACUAUCGAGGUUCGAAUCCCUCUCUCUCCU
This is a non-coding RNA of Datura stramonium (jimsonweed), 89 nucleotides long. NCBI's taxonomy places the organism in Eukaryota, Viridiplantae, Streptophyta, Magnoliopsida, Solanales, Solanaceae. The record is from the annotation of a GenBank genome assembly.